GCCGGGCACGGUGGCGUGUGCCUGUAAUCCCAGCUACUCGGGAGGCUGAGACGGGAGAAUCGCUUGAACCUAGGAGGCAGAGGUUGCAGUGAGCUGAGAUUGUGCCACUGCACUCUAGCCUGGGCAACAGAGCGAGACUCCAUCUCAA
Molecule: unclassified non-coding RNA, 148 nt
Organism: Pongo abelii (Sumatran orangutan)
Lineage: Eukaryota; Metazoa; Chordata; Mammalia; Primates; Hominidae
Rfam family: Metazoan signal recognition particle RNA
About the family: The signal recognition particle (SRP) is a universally conserved ribonucleoprotein. It is involved in the co-translational targeting of proteins to membranes. The eukaryotic SRP consists of a 300-nucleotide 7S RNA and six proteins: SRPs 72, 68, 54, 19, 14, and 9.
Source: Ensembl